AUUGAACGCUGGCGGCAUGCCUAACACAUGCAAGUCGAGCGGCACGUCGGACGGGUGAGUAAUGCCUAGGAAUCUGCCUGGUAGUGGGGGAUAACGUCCGGAAACGGGCGCUAAUACCGCAUACUAUCAGAUGAGCCUAGGUCGGAUUAGCUAGUUGGUGGGGUAAAGGCCUACCAAGGCGACGAUGCGUAACUGGUCUGAGAGGAUGAUCAGUCACACUGGAACUGAGACACGGUCCAGACUCCUACGGGAGGCAGCAGUGGGGAAUAUUGGGCAAUGGGCGAAAGCCUGAGCCAGCCAUGCCGCGUGAGUGAAGAAGGUCUUCGGAUUGUAAAGCGCUUUAAGUUGGGAGGCGUUACCAAAAGAAUAAGCACCGGCUAACUUCGUGCCAGCAGCCGCGGUAAUUC
This 407-nucleotide ribosomal RNA is filed under the name uncultured bacterium. Its description in RNAcentral is "partial 16S ribosomal RNA". It matches the Rfam family "Bacterial small subunit ribosomal RNA", at positions 30 to 526 of the family's 1533-position model. The record is from RNAcentral.